This 234-nucleotide ribosomal RNA is filed under the name uncultured bacterium. RNAcentral's name for it is "partial 16S ribosomal RNA". It matches the Rfam family "Bacterial small subunit ribosomal RNA", at positions 524 to 754 of the family's 1533-position model. The record is from RNAcentral.
UACGUAGGGUGCGAGCGUUGUCCGGAAUUACUGGGCGUAAAGAGCUCGUAGGUGGUUUGUCGCGUCUGGUGUGAAAAUCCAGGGCUUAACCCUGGACCUGCAUCGGGUACGGGCAGACUAGAGUGCGGUAGGGAGAUCGGAAUUCCUGGUGUAGCGGUGAAAUGCGCAGAGAUCGGGAGGAACACCAGUGGCGAAGGCGGCCUGACCGUGGACCGAGCACUGACACUGAGGCAC